This 468-nucleotide ribosomal RNA is filed under the name uncultured bacterium. RNAcentral's name for it is "partial 16S ribosomal RNA". It matches the Rfam family "Bacterial small subunit ribosomal RNA", at positions 28 to 507 of the family's 1533-position model. The record is from RNAcentral.
GACGAACGCUGGCGGCGUGCUUAAUACAUGCAAGUCGAACGGAAAGGCCCUGCUUUUGUGGGGUGCUCGAGUGGCGAACGGGUGAGUAACACGUGAGUAACCUGCCCUUGACUUUGGGAUAACUUCAGGAAAAUGGGGCUAAUAUCGGAUAGGAGCUCCUGCUGCAUGGUGGGGGUUGGAAAGUUUCGGCGGUUGGGGAUGGACUCGCGGCUUAUCAGCUUGUUGGUGGGGUAGUGGCUUACCAAGGCUUUGACGGGUAGCCGGCCUGAGAGGGUGACCGGCCACAUUGGGACUGAGAUACGGCCCAGACUCCUACGGGAGGCAGCAGUGGGGAAUAUUGCACAAUGGGCGGAAGCCUGAUGCAGCAACGCCGCGUGCGGGAUGACGGCCUUCGGGUUGUAAACCGCUUUCGCCUGUGACGAAGCGUGAGUGACGGUAAUGGGUAAAGAAGCACCGGCUAACUACGUG